CUACACUAUAAGACUGGGAUAACUUCGGGAAACCGGAGCUAAUACCGGAUAAUAUAUUGAACCGCAUGGUUCAAUAGUGAAAGACGGUUUUGCUGUCACUUAUAGAUGGAUCCGCGCCGCAUUAGCUAGUUGGUAAGGUAACGGCUUACCAAGGCAACGAUGCGUAGCCGACCUGAGAGGGUGAUCGGCCACACUGGAACUGAGACACGGUCUAGACUCCUACGGGAGGCAGCAGGA
This 237-nucleotide ribosomal RNA is filed under the name uncultured Staphylococcus sp. RNAcentral's name for it is "partial 16S ribosomal RNA". It matches the Rfam family "Bacterial small subunit ribosomal RNA", at positions 125 to 354 of the family's 1533-position model. Lineage: Bacteria; Bacillati; Bacillota; Bacilli; Caryophanales; Staphylococcaceae. The record is from RNAcentral.